UAAUGAAGGAAGCAUGGUAAUGUGCACAUAAAUUGAAUUGGACCUCUAGGCCUGUCCUCUCUGAUGUCAUGUGACUUUGAUUUUGGGGCAUGGUUCCGCAGCAAAACA
Molecule: small nucleolar RNA, 108 nt
Organism: Rhododendron vialii
Lineage: Eukaryota; Viridiplantae; Streptophyta; Magnoliopsida; Ericales; Ericaceae
Product: small nucleolar RNA snoR100
Exons: 1
Source: RefSeq, a predicted model, not a curated record